GGAUGUGAGGGCGAUCUGACUGCAACAUCUGUCACCCCAUUGAUCACCAGGGUUGAUUUGGCUGAUCUGGCUGGCUAGGCGGGUGUCCCCUUUCUCCCUCACUGCUCCACGUACAUCCUUCCCGAAGCUGCAUGCUCGGUCGAGGAGGACGACCUUCCCCUAGAGGAGAGGACUGUUCUUCGGUCAAGGGUAUAUGAGUAACGGCGCUCCCCUGCUAGAACCUCCAAAGAAACACAUCAACAGGAAUACAAUAAUAGUAGGGAACUUUAACACUCCCCUCACUGAAAUGGACAGAUCAU
RNAcentral lists this small nuclear RNA (299 nucleotides) under Mustela putorius furo (domestic ferret). Its description in RNAcentral is "7SK RNA (ENSMPUG00000022436.1)". It matches the Rfam family "7SK RNA". Rfam says of the family: 7SK was discovered as an abundant small nuclear RNA in the mid-70s but a possible function has only recently been suggested. Two independent studies have found that 7SK RNA binds the CDK9/cyclin T complex (known as elongation factor P-TEFb). Lineage: Eukaryota; Metazoa; Chordata; Mammalia; Carnivora; Mustelidae. The record is from Rfam by way of RNAcentral.